Molecule: ribozyme, 66 nt
Filed under: Aedes aegypti (yellow fever mosquito)
Lineage: Eukaryota; Metazoa; Arthropoda; Insecta; Diptera; Culicidae
Description: drz-agam-1 ribozyme
Rfam family: drz-agam-1 ribozyme
Source: Rfam by way of RNAcentral
UGCACAGCAACUCCUAUCCCUACCUCCUCGUGGUACUGGCCGGGGUACGAGUAAUCUUGGGGAAGA